RNAcentral lists this RNase P RNA (453 nucleotides) under Candidatus Omnitrophota bacterium. Its description in RNAcentral is "RNase P RNA component class A". It matches the Rfam family "Bacterial RNase P class A". From Rfam's summary of the family: Ribonuclease P (RNase P) is a ubiquitous endoribonuclease, found in archaea, bacteria and eukarya as well as chloroplasts and mitochondria. Its best characterised activity is the generation of mature 5'-ends of tRNAs by cleaving the 5'-leader elements of precursor-tRNAs. Cellular RNase Ps are ribonucleoproteins. Lineage: Bacteria; Pseudomonadati; Candidatus Omnitrophota. The record is from RNAcentral.
UGCAGGCAAAAGGUGGCUGCCCGCCACAAUUUAUUGGCGGGAGGAAAGUCCGGGCUCCAGAGGACAGCGCACCUCGUAACGCGAGGCCUCCGUGCCUUCUUGCUGCUUAGCGCUCUUUAACAAAUCUUUAAAGACUUUAAUGUAUAGAAGGCGCGGAAAGGGAAAGUGCCACAGAAAAUAUACCGCCUGAGAUUGCCUUGCGGCAGUAUCAGGUAAGGGUGAAAAGGCGGUGUAAGAGACCACCGCAGGCCAUAGUAAUAUGGCUUGGCAAGGAAAACCCUGCGCGGAGCAAUGUCGCAAACAGCUGAAUUUAGAGCGGUCCGUUCUAAGGCCCUAAAGGCCUUUCGGCUGAGGUAGACUGCUAGUAGCAACGGAGCAAUCCGCUGUGCAAGAGAAAUGGCCACUCCUGCCUAAUAGGCGGGACAGAACCCGGCUUAUUUUUGCCUGCAUUUG